GACGAACGCUGGCGGCGUGCUUAACACAUGCAAGUCGAACGGAAAGGCCCUGCUUGCAGGGUACUCGAGUGGCGAACGGGUGAGUAACACGUGGGUGAUCUGCCCUGCACUUCGGGAUAAGCCUGGGAAACUGGGUCUAAUACCGGAUAGGAGCCAUUUUUAGUGUGAUGGUUGGAAAGUUUUAUCGGUGUAGGAUGAGCUCGCGCCUAUCAGCUUGUUGGUGGGGUAAUGGCCUACCAAGGCGGCGACGGGUAGCCGGCCUGAGAGGGUGGACGGCCACAUUGGGACUGAGAUACGGCCCAGACUCCUACGGGAGGCAGCAGUGGGGAAUAUUGCACAAUGGGCGCAAGCCUGAUGCAGCGACGCCGCGUGGGGGAUGACGGCCUUCGGGUUGUAAACUCCUUUCGCUAGGGACGAAGCUUUUUGUGACGGUACCUAGAGAAGAAGCACCGGCUAACUACGUG
This 464-nucleotide ribosomal RNA is filed under the name uncultured bacterium. RNAcentral's name for it is "partial 16S ribosomal RNA". It matches the Rfam family "Bacterial small subunit ribosomal RNA", at positions 28 to 507 of the family's 1533-position model. The record is from RNAcentral.